RNAcentral lists this non-coding RNA (30 nucleotides) under Callithrix jacchus (white-tufted-ear marmoset). Lineage: Eukaryota; Metazoa; Chordata; Mammalia; Primates; Cebidae. RNAcentral also lists the same sequence under 1 other name. The record is from RNAcentral.
UGGGUCCAGGUGCUGGGGUGAUUACCCUUA